This 497-nucleotide ribosomal RNA is filed under the name uncultured bacterium. Its description in RNAcentral is "partial 16S ribosomal RNA". It matches the Rfam family "Bacterial small subunit ribosomal RNA", at positions 28 to 507 of the family's 1533-position model. The record is from RNAcentral.
GAUGAACGCUGGCGGCGUGCCUAAUACAUGCAAGUCGAGCGAACGGACGAGAAGCUUGCUUCUCUGAUGUUAGCGGCGGACGGGUGAGUAACACGUGGAUAACCUACCUUUAAGACUGGGAUAACUUCGGGAAACCGGAGCUAAUACCGGAUAAUAUUUUGAACCGCAUGGUUCAAAAGUGAAAGACGGUCUUGCUGUCACUUAUAGAUGGAUCCGCGCUGCAUUAGCUAGUUGGUAAGGUAACGGCUUACCAAGGCAACGAUGCAUAGCCGACCUGAGAGGGUGAUCGGCCACACUGGAACUGAGGCACGGUCCAGACUCCUACGGGAGGCAGCAGUAGGGAAUCUUCCGCAAUGGGCGAAAGCCUGACGGAGCAACGCCGCGUGAGUGAUGAAGGUCUUCGGAUCGUAAAACUCUGUUAUUAGGGAAGAACAUAUGUGUAAGUAACUGUGCACAUCUUGACGGUACCUAAUCAGAAAGCCACGGCUAACUACGUG